AGCAGCCGCGGUAAUUCCAGCUCCAAUAGCGUAUAUUAAAGUUGUUGCAGUUAAAAAGCUCGUAGUUGAAUUUCGAGACCGGUUUACUGGUCGUGCUUUUGUACGUACUGGUAUUAUUGGUUUCUCCUUUCUGACGAAUCAUAAUGCCAUUAAUUUGGUGUUUUGGGGAAUCAGGACUGUUACUUUGAAAAAUUAGAGUGUUUAAAGCAGGCUCACGCUUGAAUACAUUAGCAUGGAAUAACGAAAUAGGACGUUUGAUUUUAUUUUGUUGGUUUCUAGGAUCGACGUAAUGAUUAAUAGGGAUAGUUGGGGGCAUUAGUAUUCAAUUGUCAGAGGUGAAAUUCUUGGAUUUAUUGAAGACUAACUACUGCGAAAGCAUUUGCCAAGGAUGUUUUCAUUAAUCAAGAACGAAAGUUAGGGGAUCGAAGACGAGUCAGAUACCGUCGUAGUCUUAACCAUAAACUAUGCCGACUAGGGAUCGGAUGAUGUUAAUUUUUAAUGUACUCAUUCGGCGCCUUAC
This 520-nucleotide ribosomal RNA is filed under the name uncultured Glomus. RNAcentral describes it as "SSU rRNA". It matches the Rfam family "Eukaryotic small subunit ribosomal RNA", at positions 569 to 1091 of the family's 1831-position model. The record is from RNAcentral. Lineage: Eukaryota; Fungi; Glomeromycota; Glomeromycetes; Glomerales; Glomeraceae.